Molecule: ribosomal RNA, 1198 nt
Filed under: uncultured bacterium
Lineage: Bacteria
Description: bacterial SSU rRNA
Rfam family: Bacterial small subunit ribosomal RNA
Source: RNAcentral
UGAGAGCCCCCCCACCCCCCCCCGGGGAAUUUGGAAACUCGUUCAGUUUUCUUACGAAAGACAACCAUUGAAAAUUUUGGACCAAUGGGGGGAAAGGCUUGAUCCCAGCCAAUGCCGGCGUGAGUGAAGAAGGCCUUCCGGGUUGUAAAGCUUCUUUUGUCAGGGAAGAAGACGGUGGGGGCUAAUAUCUUUCGCUAAUGACGGUACCUGAAGAAUAAGCCCGGGCUAACUACGUGCCAGCAGCCGCGGUAAUACGUAGGGUGCAAGCGUUAAUCGGAAUUACUGGGCGUAAGCGUGCGCAGGCGGUUUUGUAAGUCUGACGUGAAAUCCCCGGGCUCAACCUGGGAAUUGCGUUGGAGACUGCAAGGCUAGAAUCUGGCAGAGGGGGGGUAGAAUUCCACGUGUAGCAGUGAAAUGCGUAGAGAUGUGGAGGAACACCGAUGGCGAAGGCAGCCCCCUGGGUCAAGAUUGACGCUCAUGCACGAAAGCGUGGGGAGCAAACAGGAUUAGAUACCCUGGUAGUCCACGCCCUAAACGAUGUCUACUAGUUGUCGGGUUUUAAUUAACUUGGUAACGCAGCUAACGCGUGAAGUAGACCGCCUGGGGAGUACGGUCGCAAGAUUAAAACUCAAAGGAAUUGACGGGGACCCGCACAAGCGGUGGAUGAUGUGGAUUAAUUCGAUGCAACGCGAAAAACCUUACCUACCCUUGACAUGUACGGAAGACCGAAGAGAUUUGGUUGUGCUCGAAAGAGAACCGUAACACAGGUGCUGCAUGGCUGUCGUCAGCUCGUGUCGUGAGAUGUUGGGUUAAGUCCCGCAACGAGCGCAACCCUUGUCAUUAGUUGCUACAUUCAGUUGAGCACUCUAAUGAGACUGCCGGUGACAAACCGGAGGAAGGUGGGGAUGACGUCAAGUCCUCAUGGCCCUUAUGGGUAGGGCUUCACACGUCAUACAAUGGUACAUACAGAGGGCCGCCAACCCGCGAGGGGGAGCUAAUCCCAGAAAGUGUAUCGUAGUCCGGAUCGCAGUCUGCAACUCGACUGCGUGAAGUUGGAAUCGCUAGUAAUCGCGGAUCAGCAUGUCGCGGUGAAUACGUUCCCGGGUCUUGUACACACCGCCCGUCACACCAUGGGAGCGGGUUUUACCAGAAGUAGGUAGCUUAACCGCAAGGAGGGCGCUACCACGGUGAUCGAAGU